GAUGAACGCUGGCGGCGUGCCUAAUACAUGCAAGUCGAGCGAACGGACGAGAAGCUUGCUUCUCUGAUGUUAGCGGCGGACGGGUGAGUAACACGUGGAUAACCUACCUAUAAGACUGGGAUAACUUCGGGAAACCGGAGCUAAUACCGGAUAUUAUUUUGAACCGCAUGGUUCAAAAGUGAAAGACGGUCUUGCUGUCACUUAUAGAUGGAUCCGCGCUGCAUUAGCUAGUUGGUAAGGUAACGGCUUACCAAGGCAACGAUGCAUAGCAGACCUGAGAGGGUGAUCGGCCACACUGGAACUGAGACACGGUCCAGACUCCUACGGGAGGCAGCAGUAGGGAAUCUUCCGCAAUGGGCGAAAGCCUGACGGAGCAACGCCGCGUGAGUGAUGAAGGUCUUCGGAUCGUAAAACUCUGUUAUUAGGGAAGAACAUAUGUGUAAGUAACUGUGCACAUCUUGACGGUACCUAAUCAGAAAGCCACGGCUAACUACGUG
This 497-nucleotide ribosomal RNA is filed under the name uncultured bacterium. Its description in RNAcentral is "partial 16S ribosomal RNA". It matches the Rfam family "Bacterial small subunit ribosomal RNA", at positions 28 to 507 of the family's 1533-position model. The record is from RNAcentral.